Molecule: unclassified non-coding RNA, 389 nt
Filed under: Hevea brasiliensis (rubber tree)
Lineage: Eukaryota; Viridiplantae; Streptophyta; Magnoliopsida; Malpighiales; Euphorbiaceae
Source: RNAcentral
UCCUUCCAAACUCAAAUGUCUUCACAGUACUUCUACUACCUAAAAUGUCACAAUCAAAGAAUUCGAAAAUUAGUAAUGGAUACAUAAACCUCAUAAACAGCCGUAACACGAGACUGGAGUGGCAACAAAGACUAACUAGAACCAACAGUGGUGGUGGUGUUGCUCAUUAUAUUCCAACAAACAAUUCACACUGCGCAGACUACUUGAUUAUUGAUAAACGGUUUAAGCCGAGUUCCUGCAAUGAAGAAAAUCAAAAUUGACCACCCCUAUUUAUAAUCAAAUAGAAGGGUGAAAAUGGAAUGCGACCCAUCAGUCUACAUCAACAACUCUUGCUUGCACCACUUAUACACUUCCUUAAAACUUCUAAAGAAACCAUCAGAAAAUGAAAG